Molecule: long non-coding RNA, 3048 nt
Organism: Ictalurus furcatus (blue catfish)
Lineage: Eukaryota; Metazoa; Chordata; Actinopteri; Siluriformes; Ictaluridae
Exons: 2
Source: RefSeq, a predicted model, not a curated record
UCUAACAUUCUUCAUUCAGGUAAUAGCUCACAUCCACCUUGGUGUACGAGUGAAAAUAUUAAGAUCUGUUUAAAUAAACUAAAAUCUACGAAAGGCCCUGUAGUUUACGAAAGUGGAGAAAUUCUAAAAUAUGAUCCCAGCAUGAGGCCGAUGAUUAGAAGGGAAAUACCAUGCGAAAUUAUUAUUACCGCCGGAAAAAAAAUUAGAAGAAAAGGACUUGGCUGUUAUUACGGUUGUGGUCAUGUCCUGACUGCGUUUCAUGUUGUUGAAGGUUUAGAAAAUUUUGACAUACUCGUUGCUUUCCGUAAUGGAAAAUGUACACUGAUCUAUAAGGCUAAAUUUCCAAAAUCUUGUAACACUGAAUCACACAGAGAUCAGACAUGUAUUAAAUUACUUGGUGACACUAACCCACUUGGUGAUGGUUUACAAAAUCAAGUUGGUAAAGCCAAUAAAUCCAAAAGUGUAUAUUUUUACAUACAAACUCCUGACGGAAUGUUUAAGAAGCAGGAGGGUGAAAUCGUGCAGGAGGGUGAAAUCGUGCAGGACGGUAAAAUCGUUAAAGAAAGACACUAUGAAUUUAGAAUAUCUGUAGCUGGUAAACAUGGAGACAGUGGCUCACUUGUUUAUAAAGCUGAGGGUGAACCGUUUGGCAUAUAUAGAGGCGUACAUAAAGACAAUGGAUAUGGUGUCUGUUCUAAAAUUUCUCCACAUUUGAAACCUGUUAACAUGUCACUGACGUUACAGAUUUAUUUAAUAGUUCUAAAAAAAAAUUUUUAUUUAUAUAAAAAAAACUUAUUUUUUUUAAACCUAACCAGAAACUGACAUUACAGAAUUAUUUAAAAGGUUUAUAACAAUAUUUUAUUUAUAUAAAAAAAAGUCUUAAUUUUUUAAAAGAAUAUCAUUUUUUGUUAUCAUAGCAAACUGUCUCUCACUUUUAUUCUGAGCCUGAGUAUUGUGUACGUGUGUGACGUGCGUGUACAUUCAACACAUGAGUCGAACUGAGCCAUUGGGGCCAAGCCUCUGGAUUUCCCGUUUCAUUUUUGUUUUCUGCCAGACUGAGGAAUUAAAGCUCAUGUAAAAGCGCAACCCAAGUCCGCUGAGUUUCACCUGCUGGCAGGGAACAUUUACCACACUGAUGACAAAAACCUGGAGAUCAGUACACACCGAAAACCACAUGUACAUGGAGCCAAAUCCCCUGGCACAGAUCGUCCAGCCUCAAGCCAUCUUCUAGGAUGCAAGAGAAGCAGCAUCAGGCCCUCACAGGUCUGCAGCAACAGCAACAGGAAAUCCUCUUUAAACAUCAUGGAGGAGCAAGCGGCAGACCAACCCACCAUCCAGAGCCUGAUGGCACUAUCCCCUCUAUAAACACUCUCACUGGCCAUUAUGGCACCCCACGGUGAUGUCGGGGUGAACCUGGAGAUGUUCAAAAGUAACACCUCGGCAUGAGUCCGGCUGAGUGUGCGGUCUGCACAUUCAAGCCCUCCUGAACAGAGACUUGGUUGUUUUCCAGUGGCUUGCAGUGACUCAUGUGUCGUGCACACACACACACACACACACACACACACCAGCACAAAAAUAAAUAAAUAAAAUAAAAUAAAAUAAAUAAUUUAAAAAAACAAACACACAAAACAUUUUUUUAUUAAUAUAAUUAUUAUUAUUAUCUAGUAGAAAGGCAUGUGGUGUACGAUCCUCUGAAAACCACUUCCUCCAUUUUAGUUGUUGGGUCCCCAGGCUGAGGUGCACAAAAUAAGGCCAAGCCUGAUUAUUGUGUACGUGUGUGACGUGUGUGUACGUGCAACACAUGAGUCGAACUGAACCAAUGGGGCCAAGAUUCUGGUUUUUCUGAGAUCAGCGCACACCAAAAAAUCCUCCCUAAACAUCAUGGAGGAGCAAGUGGCAGACCAUCCCACCAUCCAGAGCCUGGUGGCAAGAUCCCCUCUAUAAACUCUCUCAUUGGCCAGAAUGACACCGCAGGGUGAUGUCGAGGUGGACCAUGAGAUGUUCGAGAGUAAUGCCUCGGCAUGAGGCUGACUGUUUGUGAGGGCUGCACAUUCAAGACCUCCUGAACAGAGACCUGGCUGUUUUCCAAUGGCUUGCAUUGGCUCAUGCGUCGUGCAUACACACACACACCACUCAUGCUCUCUUUCAUAAGAAAGAGAGAGGGGGACAGAACAGCUUAUAUAAUUAUAUAAAUAACAAUCAUUAUUAUUAUUAUUAUUAUUAUUAUUAUUAUCCAUCCAUCCAUCUUCUACCGCUUACUCCUUCUUCAGGGUUGCGGGGGAACCUGGAGCCUAUCCCAGGGAGCAUUGGGCACAAGGCGGGGUACACCCUGGACAGGGUGCCAAUUAUUAUUAUUAUUAUUAAGUGAGGAUGAAGAAGUUUGAUGAGCCAUGCCCUGGGUGUAAGUUCUAGCCUAACCUCUCCUCAAGGGUGACCCCCUGCGAAACGCAAAGUAUCUGGGUUGAAGACAAUCAUAGCUACAACCACUGAGAAAGGAAGUGAUGGACUUUUUUUUUUUCUAUUUCUCCAUUUACAUGUAAUCAGUUGUGUGAUUAGAGACUGGGUGAUCACUGUCUGACUUAUCAUUGUAAUCAAGCUGAGAAAAUUAUUCUGUACUCAUGUUUAUUGCUCUAUAUUCAUAUCACCUAUAUGGGUUUAAUCAACUUUGUACUCUACAUAACCGUGACAACCACGGGCAAGUGCUGAACCAAAUGAACGCUCAUGCUUACGAUCAUUAUGCUUGAUUUUUAUGGAUAGGGACAGGGAGACAGAAUCUUUUACUCUUUCCUGGUCUAUGCUGGAAAGAGAUGUUUGUUUCUGGUCUCCACAAGAGAGUGGUUUCAGGAUUUGGUCGUUGGUAGAUGGCUGAUGUGAUCAUACAUUGAUCACUAGUUAGUGUUAAAGAAGGGACUGGAUUGUGAGAUUACUCUCUUGAGAUAGGUGAGACUUAGUAUGUCCCAGAGGGGGGAAAUAUAUAGGAUAUAAAGUGUAAUCAAUGUGUUAACUAAAAUUUGGAAAUGUUAAUAAAGUAUAAUCUAAUAUGUAUAA